GGGGGGGGGGGAGCUUCUUCACUUGUUCUUGAGCUCAUGUCGGUGUCAAGGAUAGGACUUUCGUUCUUAUGAUCUUGAAUUUAUUGUUUACCAUCAUCCUAACUAGUAUUAUGCUUGUCCACCUCUUUAUAAUUUAAACUUUGUUACUGAAAACAAAAGUAGCAAUGAUAAUUCUGUAAUGGAUCCAUAAAAAAAAAUCAAUGUUCUCUGUUCCAACUUACCAUGCCUUCAGUGCUCAUGUCUUGCAUUCUUUGUU
Long non-coding RNA from Humulus lupulus (European hop), 256 nucleotides. RefSeq lists it as uncharacterized. NCBI's taxonomy places the organism in Eukaryota, Viridiplantae, Streptophyta, Magnoliopsida, Rosales, Cannabaceae. The transcript has 2 exons. The record is from RefSeq and is a predicted model, not a curated record.